Molecule: long non-coding RNA, 515 nt
Organism: Oncorhynchus keta (chum salmon)
Lineage: Eukaryota; Metazoa; Chordata; Actinopteri; Salmoniformes; Salmonidae
Exons: 3
Source: RefSeq, a predicted model, not a curated record
GGUCGACCGGAUUGGUCCUGAUUAGAGGUCGACCGGAUUGGUCCUGAUUAGAGGUCGACCGGAUUGGUCCUGAUUAGAGGUCGACCGGAUUGGUCCUGAUUAGAGGUCGACCGGAUUGGUCCUGAUUAGAGGUCGACCGGAUUGGUCCUGAUUAGAGGUCGACCGGAUUGGUCCUGAUUAGAGGUCGACCGGAUUGGUCCUGAUUAGAGGUCGACCGGAUUGGUCCUGAUUAGAGGUCGACCGGAUUGGUCCUGAUUAGAGGUCGACCGGAUUGGUCCUGAUUAGAGGUCGACCGGAUUGGUCCUGAUUAGAGGUCGACCGGAUUGGUCCUGAUUAGAGGUCGACCGGAUUGGUCCUGAUUAGAGGUCGACCGGAUUGGUCCUGAUUAGAGGUCGACCGGAUUGGUCCUGAUUAGAGGUCGACCGGAUUGGUCCUGAUUAGAGGUCGACCGGAUUGGUCCUGAUUAGAGGUCGACCGGAUUGGUCCUGAUUAGAGGUCGACCGGAUUGGUCCUGA